Podiceps cristatus (great crested grebe) is the source of this 91-nucleotide non-coding RNA. Lineage: Eukaryota; Metazoa; Chordata; Aves; Podicipediformes; Podicipedidae. The record is from Rfam.
GCUCUUGGCUGCUCAGUAGUCAGUGUAGAAUCUGUCUGACAGUCUUGCUAACAAACAGCUACAUCUGAUUACUGGGUCACCAAAGGGUGAC